RNAcentral lists this small RNA (1023 nucleotides) under uncultured fungus. RNAcentral's name for it is "eukaryotic LSU rRNA". The stretch from base 589 to 1023 matches the Rfam family "Eukaryotic large subunit ribosomal RNA", at positions 1 to 429 of the family's 3401-position model. The record is from RNAcentral. Lineage: Eukaryota; Fungi.
UCCGUAGGUGAACCUGCGGAAGGAUCAUUAGUGAAUUGAAUAUGUUAGCGGACCUCUUCGGAGUCCCUAGCAUCAAAUCAUAUCCAUAACACCUGUGAACUGUAAGGCUGUCUUGAAAACGAGAGUGAUUAGAGCGCCUGCCCAUUUUAUACAAACAUUAAAGUAACAAACGUAGUCUUAUUAUAAUCUAAUAAAACUUUCAACAACGGAUCUCUUGGCUCUCGCAUCGAUGAAGAACGCAGCGAAAUGCGAUAAGUAAUGUGAAUUGCAGAAUUCAGUGAAUCAUCGAAUCUUUGAACGCACCUUGCGCUCUUUGGUAUUCCGAAGAGCAUGCCUGUUUGAGUGUCAUGAAAAUAUCAACCUUGACUUGGGUUUAGUGCUCUUGUCUUGGCUUGGAUUUGGCUGUUUGCCGCUCGAAAGAGUCGGCUCAGCUUAAAAGUAUUAGCUGGAUCUGUCUUUGAGACUUGGUUUGACUUGGCGUAAUAAGUUAUUUCGCUGAGGACAAUCUUCGGAUUGGCCGAGUUUCUGGGACGCUUGUCCGCUUUCUAAUACAAGUUCUAGCUUGCUAGACAUGACUUUUUUAUUAUCUGGCCUCAAAUCAGGUAGGACUACCCGCUGAACUUAAGCAUAUCAAUAAGCGGAGGAAAAGAAACUAACAAGGAUUCCCCUAGUAACGGCGAGUGAAGCGGGAAGAGCUCAAAUUUGAAAUCUGGUGGCCUCAGGCUAUCCGAGUUGUAAUCUAUAGAAACAUUUUCCGCGUUGGCCCAUGUACAAGUCUCUUGGAAUAGAGCGUCAUAGAGGGUGAGAAUCCCGUCCUUGACAUGGACUACCAGUGCUUUGUGAUAUGUUUUCAACGAGUCGAGUUGUUUGGGAAUGCAGCUCAAAAUGGGUGGUAAAUUCCAUCUAAAGCUAAAUAUUGGCGAGAGACCGAUAGCGAACAAGUACCGUGAGGGAAAGAUGAAAAGCACUUUGGAAAGAGAGUUAAACAGUAUGUGAAAUUGUUGAAAGGGAAACGCUUGAAGU